This 492-nucleotide ribosomal RNA is filed under the name uncultured bacterium. Its description in RNAcentral is "partial 16S ribosomal RNA". It matches the Rfam family "Bacterial small subunit ribosomal RNA", at positions 29 to 507 of the family's 1533-position model. The record is from RNAcentral.
AGUGAACGCUGGCGGUAGGCCUAACACAUGCAAGUCGAACGGCAGCACAGUAAGAGCUUGCUCUUACGGGUGGCGAGUGGCGGACGGGUGAGGAAUACAUCGGAAUCUACUUUUUCGUGGGGGAUAACGUAGGGAAACUUAUGCUAAUACCGCAUACGACCUACGGGUGAAAGCAGGGGAUCUUCGGACCUUGCGCGAUUGAAUGAGCCGAUGUCGGAUUAGCUAGUUGGCGGGGUAAAGGCCCACCAAGGCGACGAUCCGUAGCUGGUCUGAGAGGAUGAUCAGCCACACUGGAACUGAGACACGGUCCAGACUCCUACGGGAGGCAGCAGUGGGGAAUAUUGGACAAUGGGCGCAAGCCUGAUCCAGCCAUACCGCGUGGGUGAAGAAGGCCUUCGGGUUGUAAAGCCCUUUUGUUGGGAAGGAAAAGCAGCAGGUUAAUACCCCGCUGUUCUGACGGUACCCAAAGAAUAAGCACCGGCUAACUUCGUG